RNAcentral lists this ribosomal RNA (492 nucleotides) under uncultured bacterium. RNAcentral's name for it is "partial 16S ribosomal RNA". It matches the Rfam family "Bacterial small subunit ribosomal RNA", at positions 29 to 507 of the family's 1533-position model. The record is from RNAcentral.
AGCGAACGCUGGCGGCAGGCCUAACACAUGCAAGUCGAACGGCAGCACAGUAAGAGCUUGCUCUUACGGGUGGCGAGUGGCGGACGGGUGAGGAAUAUAUCGGAAUCUACUUUUUCGUGGGGGAUAACGUAGCGAAACUUACGCUAAUACCGCAUACGACCUACGGGUGAAAGCAGUGGAUCUUCGGACCUUGCGCGAUUGAAUGAGCCGAUGUCGGAUUAGCUAGUUGGCGGGGUAAAGGCCCACCAAGGCGAGGAUCCGUAGCCGGUCUGAGAGGAUGAUCAGCCACACUGGAACUGAGACACGGUCCAGACUCCUACGGGAGGCAGCAGUGGGGAAUAUUGGACAAUGGGCGCAAGCCUGAUCCAGCCAUACCGCGUGGGUGAAGAAGGCCUUCGGGUUGUAAAGCCCUUUUGUUGGGAAAGAAAAGCAGCAGGUUGAUACCCCGCUGUUCUGACGGUACCCAAAGAAUAAGCACCGGCUAACUUCGUG